AUGGUGAAGGCUGUCACAAAGAAGAGUGAAGACCUGUUCUGUGAUUCCCCAAACGAUCGAAGUUCCUCGGUGAACCAAGGAAAAUCAUCCGGGUACCCCAGGUUGAGAACCACUGAUCUACACUGCCAUAUAAAAUCCAUCUUAUCUGCAUUGAAUGGGAUCAUAUGGCAGUGUAGACUCAUAUAAUCCAGUUGAAAUCAGAUAAUCUGGAUUAUAUGGCAGUGUAAAUCCAGCCUGGGUCAUCUAGUGCAAGUUCUAGCAACAGUUCACUAAAGAAGUGAACUGGAGAACCAGGAUAUUCCUAGAAAGGUGUUGUUUUGGGGGAGAGGGGAUUUUUAUUCAAGGUUUUUCACUUUUGCAGAGGCCCUCAACCUCAGAUAAUUCAGAGGGCUGUUUGUAUAUACCAGGGGUCCCCAAACUAAGGCCCGGGGGCCGGAUGCGGCCCUCCAAGGCCAUUUACCUGGCCCCCACCCUCAGUUUUAGAUUGAGGCUUGCCCAAAGUCUGAAAUGACUUGAAGGCACACGACAAUCCUACUUGACUAUCUCAUUGGCCAAAAGCAGGCCCACUUCCCACUGAAAUCCUGAUAAUUUUACAGUAUGUUGAUUAAAAUUGUUUUUAUUUUUAAAUAUUGUAUUGUUCUUUCAUUUACUAAUAUUGUAAAUGAAAUAUUGUAAAUGAAUAAUAUGGUAAUAAUAUUAUAUAUUGUGUACACAUAUAAUAUUGAUAAUAAUAUUAUAAUGUAACUAGCUGUGCCCGGCCACGCAUUGCUUUGGCAAAGUGGCGGUGGUAUUGGUUAAAAAUUGUUGUGUAAUUUUUAUUUGACGUUAUUUGCAUUUUUAAUUAAUUUUAUUGUAAGUUAUAUUUUUAUGUAUUAUGUUUUAUUAUUUUCUUGUAUUUUUUUAGUUAUUUUCUGUUAUUAUAGUACAGUAGAGUCUCACUUAUCCAACAUAAACGGGCCGGCAGAACGUUGGAUAAGCGAAUAUGUUGGAUAAUAAGGAGGCAUUAAGGAAAAGCCUAUUAAACAUCAAAUUAGGUUAUGAUUUUACAAAUGAAGCACCAAAACAUCAUGUUAGACAACAAAUUUGGCAGAAAAAGUAGUUCAAUACGCAGUAAUGCUAUGUAGUAAUUACAGUGUUUACUAAUUUAGCACCAAAAUAUCACGAUAUAUUGAAAACAUUGACUACAAAAAUGCGUUGGAUAAUCCAGAACGUUGGAUAAGUGAGUGUUGGAUAAGUGAGACUCUACUGUAUUUUAUUGUAUUAAUUUUUAGUGUUUUUUAUUAUUUUUUAUUGGGUUGCUAGGAGACCAAGUGAGCGGAGCUUAGCCUUCUAACUGGCAGCAAUUGGAUAAAAACAAUUAUUCCUCUCCCUCUAAUUAGGGCUUUAUUUUUCUUUUAUUUUUAUUGUAUCAACCUAGAGGCGUGGAUGAGGGGUUGUGCUGUCAAUUUUCGAAGUUGUGGGGUGUAAUAAUAUUAUAUAUUGUGUGCACAUAUAAUAUUGAUAAUAAUGUAAUACAAUAUAAUAUUUAUUUAUUUAUUACAGUAUUUCUACCUCGCCCUUCUCACCCAAUAGCGGACUCAGGGUGGCUA
This is a long non-coding RNA of Anolis carolinensis (green anole), 1589 nucleotides long. NCBI's taxonomy places the organism in Eukaryota, Metazoa, Chordata, Lepidosauria, Squamata, Anolidae. The record is from Ensembl.